UACGGAGGGUGCAAGCGUUAUCCGGAUUCACUGGGUUUAAAGGGUGCGUAGGUGGAUUGGUAAGUCAGUGGUGAAAUCUCCGGGCUUAACUCGGAACGGUCAAGUGAUACUGUCGUGCUAGAGUACAGAAGGGGCAACUGGAAUUCUCGGUGUAGCGGUGAAAUGCGUAGAUAUCGAGAGGAACACCUGCGGCGAAGGCGGGUUGCUGGGCUGAUACUGACGCUGAGGCGCGAAAGCCAGGGGAGCAAACGGG
This 253-nucleotide ribosomal RNA is filed under the name uncultured bacterium. RNAcentral describes it as "partial 16S ribosomal RNA". It matches the Rfam family "Bacterial small subunit ribosomal RNA", at positions 524 to 776 of the family's 1533-position model. The record is from RNAcentral.